This 860-nucleotide ribosomal RNA is filed under the name Xylodon spathulatus. RNAcentral's name for it is "partial large subunit ribosomal RNA". It matches the Rfam family "Eukaryotic large subunit ribosomal RNA", at positions 66 to 915 of the family's 3401-position model. The record is from RNAcentral. Lineage: Eukaryota; Fungi; Basidiomycota; Agaricomycetes; Hymenochaetales; Schizoporaceae.
UAACAAGGAUUCCCCUAGUAACUGCGAGUGAAGCGGGAAAAGCUCAAAUUUAAAAUCUGGCAGUUUCACUGUCCGAGUUGUAAUCUGGAGAAGCAUUUUCCGCGUCAGACCGUGUACAAGUCUCUUGGAACAGAGCGUCAUAGAGGGUGAGAAUCCCGUCCAUGACACGGACUACUGAUGCUUUGUGAUAUGCUCUCGAAGAGUCGAGUUGUUUGGGAAUGCAGCUCAAAAUCGGGUGGUAAAUUCCAUCUAAAGCUAAAUAUUGGCGAGAGACCGAUAGCGAACAAGUACCGUGAGGGAAAGAUGAAAAGCACUUUGGAAAGAGAGUUAAACAGUACGUGAAAUUGUUGAAAGGGAAACGCUUGAAGUCAGUCGCGUUGUCUGAGACUCAGCCUUGCUUGCAUGGUGUACUUCUCAGUUAACGGGUCAACAUCAAUUUCAGUUGGUGGAUAAAGGCAUUGGGAAUGUGGCACCUUCGGGUGUGUUAUAGCCCUUUGUUGCAUACACUGACCGGGAUUGAGGAACGCAGCACGCCACUAAGGCCAGGGGUUCGCCCCAUGUAACGUGCUUAGGAUGUUGGCAUAAUGGCUUUAAGCGACCCGUCUUGAAACACGGACCAAGGAGUCUAACAUGCCUGCGAGUAUUAGGGUGGAAAACCCUUGUGCGUAAUGAAAGUGAAAGUUGGGACCUCUUGCGAGGGCACCGACGCCCGGCCCUGAAGUUUACGGACGGUGCUGCGGUAGAGCAUGUAUGUUGGGACCCGAAAGAUGGUGAACUAUGCCUGAAUAGGGUGAAGCCAGGGGAAACUCUGGUGGAGGCUCGUAGCGAUUCUGACGUGCAAAUCGAUCGUCAAAUUUGGG